UACAAGUUUACAGAUCACAAGGUCACUGAAAUAAAUCACUAUGUGAAAAAAAACAGCUAUGAAAUAGUUGAAGAAUUUUCCUUCUAGUUUAAAGGAAAACCUGGAAAAUAUUUUCAUCUAUAUGUCUAGCAAUCUCCUUAUUCAACAACAUUUCACAACAGGGAGCUGUAUCAUUCAUUUUGGAAAAAAGCAUAAGGAGUACUAGAUAACAAAGGGCCAAAUAAAACAACAGUUUAUGGGAAAUGUGCCACCAACUGACAAGAGGAGAUGAAGAGUUUCUAUACGUCAAUAACCAGUUCUCUUCAUUCACUUACCCAUUUAUUUAUUCAACAACAACUUAUUGAGC
Homo sapiens (human) is the source of this 346-nucleotide long non-coding RNA. Ensembl annotates it as PLS1 antisense RNA 1. Its record names the gene PLS1-AS1. NCBI's taxonomy places the organism in Eukaryota, Metazoa, Chordata, Mammalia, Primates, Hominidae. The record is from Ensembl.